This 549-nucleotide ribosomal RNA is filed under the name Rhacognathus corniger. RNAcentral's name for it is "partial large subunit ribosomal RNA". It matches the Rfam family "Bacterial large subunit ribosomal RNA", at positions 1802 to 2613 of the family's 2925-position model. Lineage: Eukaryota; Metazoa; Arthropoda; Insecta; Hemiptera; Pentatomidae. The record is from RNAcentral.
UUUUUUUUACAAAACAUGUCUUAAUGAUAAAUUUAUUAAGUCUGACCUGCUCAAUGAUUUGUAUAAAUUAAAUAGCCGCAGUAUUUUGACUGUGCGAAGGUAGCAUAAUCAUUUGUCUUUUAAUUGAAGGCUUGUAUGAAUGGUUGGAUGAGGGAAUAACUUUCUUUACAUUAAAUAUUGAAUUUAAUUUUUAGGUUAAAAAGCUUAAAUUUAUAAAUGGGACGAGAAGACCCUAUAGAAUUUAACUAUUAAAAUAAUAACUAUUUUUUAGGUUGAUAUAAAUAUUUAUUAUUUAUGUAGUUUUGUUGGGGCGACAGUGAGAUUAAUUUAACUCUCAUAAUAUAUUUUAAUACUUAUGAGUAACUUUAUGAUCCUUUAAUAAGGAUUAUUAGAUUAAAUUACCUUAGGGAUAACAGCGUAAUUCUUCUGGAGAGUUCUUAUCAAUAGAAGAGUUUGCGACCUCGAUGUUGGAUUAAAAUUAGAUUUAAGUGCCAGAAGCUUAAUUUCUAGGGUCUGUUCGACCUUUAAAAUUUUACAUGAUUGGUUUUU